Eleginops maclovinus (Patagonian blennie) is the source of this 1846-nucleotide RNA transcript. RefSeq lists it as uncharacterized. NCBI's taxonomy places the organism in Eukaryota, Metazoa, Chordata, Actinopteri, Perciformes, Eleginopidae. The transcript is spliced from 7 exons. The record is from RefSeq and is a predicted model, not a curated record.
CUCAAAGUUUUAUUCCCAAAAUUGGAACAGUUACUGGUGGAUGGCUGCUAUACAAAUCUUCAGGCUGGUUAACUGUCAGUGACCCCACCAAGGCCAUAUCUCAGUGUGCUGAAAGUUUUCGACGUAUUCAUGAAGCAAAGAGUCCCUUACUUCCAGCAUGGACUUAAGUGAAAGCCCUGCUGAGCAGGACAUGGCACUUGUCUCCUUCUAUAAGCGACCUAAUGUGGAGUGGGGACGACCCCUGAAUUGCAGCCUUGAAGGAGAUACUGCUAUUGGACAUGGUGUAACUAAGUUCUUUUUCUCCACAUGCAUGGAGAAGCUGAGGUCAGGCUUUUGCAUCAAUUUUGCAAAUUCAAGUUAUACACAGCUUUUUGAAGGAGAGCCUGGCCAUUUAGUUCCCUCAGCCUCUCACUUUCUCGUGGAAAGUGACAUGUUCAUGGUGGCGGGUAGAAUGAUAGGCCACUCCUUUCUUCAUGGAGGACCAUGCCUGCAGGGACUCAGCCCUGCUGUUAAUCAUGUCUUGCUUGGUGGCAGUCCCGAAACUGCAACAGUGACACUUGAGGACUGUCCAGAUCUGGACAUUAGAGAAACCAUCAGGCUUCUUGAGGGGGGAUCCACACUGUCAGAUAAGGAUAAACAAAGUGUCCAGGACUUGGCCUAUGUGUGGGACCUCCCUUCCCUAACUGACAACAACAGGAGGUGGCUUUUUGAAAAGCUAUUGAUUUGAAAAGCUAGUGAGUCAAAGAUUGAGAAAUGUGUCAAAAAAAAAAGUUACUAUUCAUGUUUUUUAUUAUUAUUAUUUUUGUAUCUUGUGGGUUAUGUUUUGGUUAUAAAUGCACAUUGAUAAGGUUUUAUUAAAAAUGGUCAGACAAAAUUAAAAUGCUGCACUUUUUCCUGAUUAAUAUGAUUCCAAAGUUUAGUGGGUGGUCUGUAAGUCUGCAGGACAGCAGUGGAAUGCAGCAUAAUAAUUGUAUUAAAGUGGAAUUCUAAUUUUUAUAUUUUACUCUUCAAGCUUGCUUUUAGAUAAAGGAAUUUUAUGGGUUCUAUUCUCUCUGUCUUAUUACUACUAACAGGUAAUAGGACGCGUCACGAGGCAAAUUAAGCAGCUGAGACGAGGUAUUAAAGAAACCCCUAUGUGGACACUGGUGACCCAAAGACCUGACACAGUGGCCUUGCUUUUUCCUAAAGACACGGCGGGGAAUGUCAGCGCUGAGGUACUUCUUCAGCGCAUCACAUGGCCUCGUGAGGAUGACAACGAUGAUGAGGACUGUUCAGUUGAAACCAAAUGCCGCAUGUCAGGGUAUCUACGACAGUUCAUAGCUAAUGCAACACCAACUGAAUUGACCAACCUGGUCAAAUUCUGGACCGGAUGGGAGGUCCUACCACUAAGUCUCUCUCUGGAAGUCGUCGAGGGAAGAUACCUCACAGCCUCCACCUGCUUUGAGACCUUGCGCAUCCCAGGGCAUUACAAGGACUACACGUCUUUUAAACAUGACAUCCUGACAUGUAUUUGCACUUGCCAUACAGGAUUUGGUCUUGUCUGAGUGACAUCUAGGCCUGUAUUUACACUUGCCAGACAAGAUUGUUCAAGUAAAAUGUAGAUGUUUUUAUGCUUGUUAGCUGUCAAGUGUUCAGAUUCACCUGACAGUAUGGAAUUGUUGUAUUUUGUAGAACUGUAACUUAAACUGUAACCCACAGAUUUCACACCAUGCCUUACUCUGUUUUGACACAUCUGAUGUUGAAAAUACAGUUUUUAAGAGGUGGAUUUACACUCAUUCCAUUUUCACAAUGCUACAUAGUUGAAAUGUAUUAAGAUCGUUUAGUAAAAUGUUGAUGUUUUUCUUAU